Molecule: long non-coding RNA, 2305 nt
Organism: Brassica rapa (field mustard)
Lineage: Eukaryota; Viridiplantae; Streptophyta; Magnoliopsida; Brassicales; Brassicaceae
Source: RefSeq, a predicted model, not a curated record
AGAAAAAUAAUAUUAUUCACCUAAAAUAAAGAAUUACGAAACAUAUACAAUAUAAUUCUAAUUAAUGAUAAUAUAAAAUCUGUUACUUUUCAAAAUAUACACUAUUUACUCUAUUUUUUGAAUGAAAGUAUCUUCGUAAACACACAAAAUAUUUUGUGAUGUUGCAAUUAUACAUACACACAAUAUCUGCCUCUUCAUACUGACGUUACUGUGUUCUCUUUCGUGAGGUACGGACCGAGAGAGAACACAGGGUGCGGACCGAUCAUUUUCUUAUGCCCGCACAGGGUGCGGACUGGUCACCUAGUAUUAUAUUAAAGGGACAUAAGGGGAUUUUUUAGGAGGGCAUGGGGCAUAUCGAGUUAAAGUCCGUUCACGUUCGACAAGGAAAACAAGAAGCCCAUCCUCGUGAAAGCUCCAAAGUCCAAACCCACGACGGAACAACGAUUCGGAUUCGGUGACGAUUCCGACGUCUUUCAUGACGGGGUCGAUCGUGGGGAAGAGAUUCUACAAGAAGGUGAUGACGAGAGAAGCGGACGAUGGGAGUGGAUGGACUGUGAUGCUCGAUUACAAAACACUUAAAACGCCUUCGAAGAGACCUCUCAAGCUUCCUUCUUUGAUAGGUCUGGGCAAUUACAGAUGCUAAGAGACAAGGGUAUCUUGGUUUCAAAGAGUUUAUCGUUGCUAUGCGGUUGAGAGAUUCAUGUUUGCAUUACAGUGAUGAAGAAUUACACAAUCAGAGAUGAUACUCUUUCUACUUUCUCUCUAGCCAGGAGGUACAAGAGCAUGGGUUUGGCAGUCUGGUUUUCUUAGGUUGUUCUUGGUAUAACAUUAGUCCCCUGCACUCUGCUUUCUAGGGAGGUACUUCAGUGUGGUGCAUCGGUUUCCAGACUUCUCAAGCACUUUACGCUCAUGCAUCUUCCUGUGUUCACUCAAAGUUCUGCAAUUUCCUCUUGUUUUAAGACUGUUUACACAUUAAUCAUUGGGUUCAUGAGUUGUUCUUUCUACUUUUUGCAGUCAGGAUUUCUGAUGUAAGCUAUGAAGAGCGGGAUGAUCCUGAUGGUCGAUUGGAACGCAGAGGCUUAUCAGGUGACUCAUAGUGAGAUUCACUUUACAAUCUGUUUGCAGGUUUCUUCCUGUUCCAUUCGUUGAUACCAUCUGAUCAAACUUCUUAUCAUGACUCUUUGUUCAUUCACACCUUUGAUCAAACUUCAUGUCAUGUAUGUUUUUCUUUCAUUUUAUAAAUAAAAUCAUUCAACUUUCUAAAAAAAUAAAUUUUAUUUUAAGAACUUCAAUGGGUUCUCCCAUUGGAGGAGAAUAAUUUAAUUAGAUUAACAAGGGGUUUUAAGUUUUCAAAUCACAAAAUUAACUACUAAAUAAUUCAUUAGAACCCUUACUAGUCUCUUACUGAUGGAGAUGCUCUUAGAGCUGGGAUUUUAAGAAAAUAUAUAAUAAACUGUUUUUUAAUUUUUAAUUAAAAAGUUAAAUACAGUACUAAAAAUUAAGAAACAGUUUUUUAUAUUUUCUUAAAAACUCCGCGAAACAGUUUUUUAUAUUUUCUUAAAAACUCCGCCCUCAGAAACUAGAAAUAAUGAUGCUCUAAAGGAUAACGAGCUACUGAUCAAGAAUUUUACUUUCCUUUCGAUUUAUAGUUUGCCUCUGGCAGCUUUUAGCUAAAAACAUGAGAUGAACAAACGGAAAAUUGCAUUAAAAACUUAAAAAUAAUAUUCAUUAACACUUUAAAAUUUGAAGCUACUUAACUAGCAUAUUAAAUUAGAAAAUACCCUAUGAUAGCACUAAAAAUGUUUAUGUCACAAAUAUAGACUUUAAAGACCAAAAUGACCAAAAUGUUUCAUUAAAGAGGUAAAUGUACACUUAUAUCCUUAACGUUAACUAAUCCAAACCUUAGGGUUUAGAGUUAAAUAGUGAAGAUUUGGGAUUGAGAUUUAAAAUUUUAUAAAAUAAAAAAUAAAAAAUAAAUAUUAAAAAUUUGAAAAUAAAAAAUUUUAAAAUAUUUUCAAAAAGUAUUUUCGAACUACAAAAAUAAAAUUUGAAAAAAUAUAAUCUAAAACUAUAUAAAAUUUUAUAAAAAAUUUCGAAUUUGAAAACAUAUAAUCUAAAACUAUAAAAAAUUAUUAUUUUUAAAUUUUUAUUAUUAUUUUUUUAUUUUUAUUUUUUUAUAUAUCUAGGAUAUUAUGGUCCUUUUACCAAUUAAGUGAAACAUUUUAGUCAUUUUUCUCCAUGUGAUCUAUUUUUGUGAUCUAAACUUGAAAAUGAUCUAUUUAGGAGAAUUGCCCUAUUAAAAUUU